Molecule: ribosomal RNA, 253 nt
Filed under: uncultured bacterium
Lineage: Bacteria
Description: partial 16S ribosomal RNA
Rfam family: Bacterial small subunit ribosomal RNA
Source: RNAcentral
UACGUAGGGGGCUAGCGUUGUCCGGAAUCAUCGGGCGUAAAGCGCGUGUAGGCGGUCCGGUAAGUCCGCUGUGAAAGUCGGGGGCUCAACCCUCGGAUGCCGGUGGAUACUGUCGGGCUUGAGUACGGAAGAGGCGAGUGGAAUUCCUGGUGUAGCGGUGAAAUGCGCAGAUAUCAGGAGGAACACCAAUUGCGAAGGCAGCUCGCUGGGACGUUACUGACGCUGAGACGCGAAAGCGUGGGGAGCGAACAGG